CAGUUUUAAAGGAUGGAUAUGAAAUUUGGGCAACAUCUGAAGAGGAGCAGCUUGUAUUUGCCUUAAACUACACAUUAAAAGCAUGUGCAGCUGCCUGUAAGACUAAAAUAUGUGCGUGUUUGGAGACAGAGCAGAUGGAGUUUGGUUAGGUUCAUCAGAGCAGUUUGCUUCCAGCAUAUCAAAUAUAUUCUGCACACAGAGGAAUUUCAGAGUCUGCCAAUGCCUGCAAUACAUAUUCAUCUGCUGCACACAGCAGCUCAUAAUCAAACAGAGGGGAAGACAAACACAGAGCAUGGUCUUAUAAAUACUUGUAUCACCUGUGGGCUACCUCUGCUUUCUGAAUGACUGUGAAAUCAGCUCCUUUUCUGCUGCUUCCCUCGUUUCCUCUUUCCUCUCAUCCACUUUUCCUCCUCACUUAUGCUUUCCCCCAGCUUCUUGCCCUUUCGAAGAUCACUUCCAACACUUUUCCCCCCUUCCUGCUGAGAGCACAACCUCUCCUUUAUUUCCAUGCAGCACGGACUCCUCCGUUAAUAUCCCUUCCUCCUUUCUUCUUCUCUUCCUCCCUCCUGUGAGAUUGCUGUUGUGUCUUAUGGCUUUUUAUUCCUACGUGAUUGGUAGAUGGGUUCAUGUAGGAGUAGAAGCCACUAAACACGCGGCGAGUGCUCAACGCGCUGGCCAGCUUCCUGUGGAUAUGACAGCUGCCAUGUUCACAUCAGUGUCCUGCCCAUUAUCAGGAAUGAGCCCACAAUAGAAACAGCACAGGGGUAAUCACCGCAGAGUUGGCUGCUGUUUCUUUCCAGACCAGAUUUUAAAUUUAAAAAGACUUUCAAACGACUUAAUUAAAUGCUUAUUGUACUUAACUGAAGCAUUGGUUUUUGGACAAUAGAGCAGAAUGGACAUCAUUUUUGGGCUGGCAAAUCCUAAACUGUGAACAGACCUACUUUCUCACAAAGAUUCCCCACCUGCAUGCACGCUGCACUGAAUUUCACGCUCAUUCCUGCUUUCCUCUUCUCCAGGGUCACAGCACAGAAAUGGAGGUACAAGUUCUCAAAAUAGAGAUCAGAGGGAAAUGAAAUACUUUGCAGCGGUAGGUCAUCGAUGCUGUUGAAAUAUGUGUAGAAGCAGUGAGAACGGAGCAGCAGCUGUCUCAAGAUACUGUUGGACUUUUUCAUUAUUUCUAUGAAACAAUGAAAAUGAACCACUGCAUUUAAAACCCUUUGUGAUGUUUUUGUUUUGCAGUUUGUCUUACAACAUAGAAAAAUAUAGAAAAAUAUACCACAUGAAUAAGGAGUUUUGUAUAAAUAGAUGGAUAGAGUUAAGAAUUUACUAUCAUCUUUUAUCAUUUGUGAGUUAAGGUCUAUUUCUCUCCUACAAAACAAAACUAGCCUCUUAUUUACAUUCUUAAGACCUCUUCCAGCAAAUAACCCGCAUGUAAAAAACAAUCACGGACAAUGACAUUCUUUGACACUAUGAUAUUAGUCACAUUUAUUGCACACUUAAUUACAUUUCUGAAUUGAGCAAAUGUCGAUUUUCGUUAUGUGUGAAUUUCCGAAUAAUGAAAAAUGUGCAGUUGUUUUUGCAGCCUUUUUGCAUGUGAAUUUGGCACAAAUUUACCAGAGAAAUUGCAACAUUCUGUGGUAUUGGUGCACUUUGCAAAAUAGUUCUCCUCUACAGCUUUUUCACUUUUUAAUGAUGACUUUUUCCACGGUUCAAUUUGCUAAACACACAUUAUUCGCUCCAGUUUUGAUUGCAAAAAAAUUAAUUCAAUGUUGCGCUACAGUCCACCUUAAAUACAAGUCUGAUAUUUGAAUACUUUGAAGCUCCUUUUUGGUCUCCACCAGCUCCUGAGGAAAUUGUCCGUCUCUUCAGCUUUUAAAUGCUCCACUAUGUUCACCCAAUUGUUCUUUAACUACUGUUGGAUAUUUAGAGCUGAGUGACUGAGUGGGUUUUUGUCACAUUAGUAGAGAUUUUAGGUCAUUAAAGGCAAACAACCCGUAAUAGUAACAAAAACCAAAACAAGGAGCAGAAAGAGGCUAAAACAGUCAAAGUAGAUGUGGAGGUAGAUGAUGAUUAAUGUUGGUUUAGCUGCAAAUUAAAAUUUUUCCCAUAUUGAUGUAAGUAUGUGACCUGUAUAUGUUAUGAUUUAGGAGUAGACAGACUGUAGAGGCUUUACAUCAUGUGGUAUUUUCUGGUAAAAUCAUAUUUUGGUAAUUCACAGAUAUUCUCUCUAUCAGAUGGGAGAGACGAGCACUGUCCCUUUAAAGCUUUUAGCACCCAGCCUGAAAACUAUAACCCAGCUCACUGCAAGCCUCAUAAAUUCCUGUUCACUCACAAAUUAGGUCUGGGACAUUUUGGCCGGCUCAAAAUGCUUAAUAACGGCAACUUUCAGCCUGAAGUGAACUCGGUGUCAACCAAUUAAGCAGGACAUUCAAAUUAUCCUGCCCCUGUUGGGUCCACUUGGGUGCUCCGGGAUUUUGGUUUAAAUGUCAACCGUGUGUUUGUAUUUGCUGUAAAAGAGGCUGCUGGCUCUCUCCUCCAGAGCAGAAUCUUAAUAAAGCCUAAAUGUACUGUUGUCGGGGACCAAAAACUGAAUUAUUAAUCCCUGGAUAUUACAAGAGUUUGACACAUGCUUGCGAUUGUGUGACAUUACCUCUGCGCCGAUACCAGGCAGAUAAUUAUUCAAGAUGAAAUUGCAAUAGAUACGGUCUGCUGAGGUUUAAUGAUUAAUUCAAGGCUGUAAGUUGUUGUGAUCUAAUAUUCAGUGGGCGGGUUGGGAAGUUUCUUUAGCUUGCAUUAUCGGUUUAAUUUAUUUUUCAGGUUCCCACUCCUACGUAGAGUUUUUCCCCCUCUUCUUUGCAGAGCCACGAGGAGGUCUGAGAGAAUAGCAGAGCAGCGGAGACAAUUUAGAGGAGGCUGAGAAAGGAUUCGAUCCUGGACCAGCGGGGGUCCAUGGGAAUCCAAAGGUGGGAAUAAACUAACAAGAGGUUUGAAUAAUUUAAGACAGCGCUGAACAUGAAGGGGGAGUUGUGUUUGAAUAGAUCGCUGCCAUCCAUCUGAUUCGCCUGAGGGUGUGUGCGGGUUUUUCUGCAUUUCUUGAUUGUGAUCCGACUGUGUUGUCAGCCUCACAUUUCCAAAAUGUCAGAAAAUAAAACGAGAAAAAAGGCUGCACAACCUCAUUUCCUCUCUGACUGCCAUGCAUUUUUUAAAGCCACGCUUUGUUUUCAUGUGUCCUCGGGUUAUGAAACUUCAUUGAGCUCUACAAGGUCACAAUCCCCUCAAGUUCAGGUAAAAAUCAUCAAAACCAGAGUAAUGGGAUUUCCAUCUGACAGCAGCAAUAAUGUGGUGUGUUUGUGUACAGUAGGUUGAAUGUACAAGUGUUGUGCUACUGUAUCCGACCCCCCUCAGGCUACACUUUCCCCCCUCCUGUAAUAAAUAAUGCUCUUUUGUGUUCCCCGCUUCAUUUGUUCCCCUGUUGUAACGUCUGCGCUGCUCAAUAAAUUAUGAAUCAACCUGC
RNAcentral lists this long non-coding RNA (3514 nucleotides) under Xyrichtys novacula (pearly razorfish). The stretch from base 575 to 659 matches the Rfam family "mir-135 microRNA precursor family". Lineage: Eukaryota; Metazoa; Chordata; Actinopteri; Labriformes; Labridae. The record is from RNAcentral.